RNAcentral lists this long non-coding RNA (1022 nucleotides) under Mytilus galloprovincialis (Mediterranean mussel). The record is from RNAcentral. Lineage: Eukaryota; Metazoa; Mollusca; Bivalvia; Mytilida; Mytilidae.
AUACAUGAAUAUAUAUAGGCAGUUGCUAUUUGUCCGGCUAGCCGGACGAAUAGUACCAGGACUAUUUGUCCGGCCAAUACAAUGCGCAUAUCACUAUUUGUGUGUGCGUGUAAUAUUAUCUUCAGCAGCACCAGGGGGUAGCAAAUGUUUGUAAUCUUUAUUGUUAGGACCCCAUCUUGUUACUGGUAAUUGAAAUUGUUGUUUUCUUGAUACUAGUAUAUAGUCCAAUGUGGAUAAUGAUAAUUAGAAAAAAAUCAUAUAUAUUUCCAAUUUAAGAAGAGAGAAGAAAUUACUUGUAAAAUAAACUCGGGUUGUGUUUGAUUCAUGCAUUUUAAGUUAACAUAAAGGACUGUGUCUAGCUAAAAAAAGGUUGUCUGUAGCGGUCAAAGAGAAUUAUAGACACCUUGACAUAAAGUUAGCCAUAUUUUGAGUGAGAGGCUGGAGAUUUUUCUAUAACCCCUCCCCCUGAUAAAAUAAGGAAACAGCACUAUUAAAAUCUUAUUCAGAAAUUCCAGGUGGGAUUUUAUUUAAUUUACGUGAGGGGGUUGGUGACACGGUGUACUCCUUUUCUCAAAUUCCUCUUUUCUUUUUUUUCCAGAUCACACAUUUGUGUGUCUCCAUAUUUCAUUACCCCACUUUUGGUAAUCUCGUCCCACCACAUCCCACUAUAUCCAAUUUCGAUACUUGCAAGAUUCAUUUGCGAAAUAUAAUUAAAUUUAAUUAGUUUAGACAUGCAAUUGUAAAGGCCUUUCUCAACUACUCUUGCAUUGAAAAUCUUUUCCAACAUUUAUACAGCUGUAGCGAGUAUUGUAUCAUUCUAUGAAGUUCAUUCUAUAGUAUUCCAUUUUAAAAUUCCGAAAACGUCAAAAGAUAUCACAAAUAUUGAUAUCGCCGUUUUCAGCCAUGAUCAUAAAAUUGAAAAUCAGUGAUCGGAUUACACGCGACCUCCUGGUGCUACAGAAGAUAAUAUUACACGCACUUCCGAACGCACAUAAUGACAUACGCAUUGCAAUGGCCGGACA